Nicotiana tabacum (common tobacco) is the source of this 371-nucleotide long non-coding RNA. RefSeq lists it as uncharacterized. The record is from RefSeq and is a predicted model, not a curated record. NCBI's taxonomy places the organism in Eukaryota, Viridiplantae, Streptophyta, Magnoliopsida, Solanales, Solanaceae.
AGGUGGUCCUCGAAAAGUAGAUAUUAACGGGAGCCAAGACCAAACCAUGUUUGAUGCCUGGAGACAAGGUCAAACCGGGUAUCCUUUAAUUGAUGCCAACAUGAAAGAACUAGCUUCUACUGGAUUCAUGUCGAAUCGAUGACGACAGAUUGUGUGCUCUUUUCUUGUUCGAGAUAUGGGCAUUGACUGGCGGAUGGGAGCUGAAUGGUUUGAGACAUGCCUCUUGGAUUAUGAUCCUUGCUCCAACUAUGGAAACUGGACAAGAGCAGGUGUUGGCAAUGACCCUAGAGAAGACCGUUGCUUCAGCAUCCCGAAACAAGCAAGUGCAAUAAGGAAAUAAGUAUUAUUUUUGAUAGAAUCAUGUUCUGGGA